GAUAGCUCAGUCGGUAGCGCAUGAGAUUCUUAAUCUCAAGGCUGUGGGUUCAAGCCCCUCAUUGGGCGAACA
This 72-nucleotide transfer RNA is filed under the name Podarcis lilfordi (Lilford's wall lizard). RNAcentral's name for it is "tRNA.Lys". The stretch from base 3 to 60 matches the Rfam family "tRNA", at positions 8 to 63 of the family's 71-position model. Rfam says of the family: Transfer RNA (tRNA) molecules are approximately 80 nucleotides in length. Their secondary structure includes four short double-helical elements and three loops (D, anti-codon, and T loops). The record is from RNAcentral. Lineage: Eukaryota; Metazoa; Chordata; Lepidosauria; Squamata; Lacertidae.